GCCCUUGUAGUAUAUCUAAUACUUUGGUCUUGUAAACCAAAAAUGGAGAUUAAUAUCCCUAGGGUA
Molecule: transfer RNA, 66 nt
Filed under: Microcebus lehilahytsara (Goodman's mouse lemur)
Lineage: Eukaryota; Metazoa; Chordata; Mammalia; Primates; Cheirogaleidae
Description: tRNA-Thr
Rfam family: tRNA
About the family: Transfer RNA (tRNA) molecules are approximately 80 nucleotides in length. Their secondary structure includes four short double-helical elements and three loops (D, anti-codon, and T loops).
Source: RNAcentral